UGGGGAAUAUUGCACAAUGGGCGAAAGCCUGAUGCAGCAACGCCGCGUGAGUGAUGAAGGCCUUCGGGUUGUAAAGCUCUGUCUUUUGGGACGAUAAUGACGGUACCAAAGGAGGAAGCCACGGCUAACUACGUGCCAGCAGCCGCGGUAAUACGUAGGUGGCAAGCGUUGUCCGGAUUUACUGGGCGUAAAGGAUGCGUAGGCGGAUUUUUAAGUGAGAUGUGAAAUACCCGGGCUUAACUUGGGUGCUGCAUUUCAAACUGGGAAUCUAGAGUGCGGGAGAGGAGAAUGGAAUUCCUAGUGUAGCGGUGAAAUGCGUAGAGAUUAGGAAGAACACCAGUGGCGAAGGCGAUUCUCUGGACCGUAACUGACGCUGAGGCAUGAAAAGCGUGGGUAGCAAAACAGGAAUUAGAUACCCUGGUAGUCCACGCCGUAAACGAUGAGUACUAGGUGUAGGAGGUAUCGACCCCUUCUGUGCCGCAGUUAACACAAUAAGUACUCCGCCUGGGAAGUACGAUCGCAAGAUUAAAAACUUAAAGGAAUUGAC
RNAcentral lists this ribosomal RNA (547 nucleotides) under uncultured bacterium. RNAcentral's name for it is "partial 16S ribosomal RNA". It matches the Rfam family "Bacterial small subunit ribosomal RNA", at positions 355 to 914 of the family's 1533-position model. The record is from RNAcentral.